AGUCGAAUGGUAACAGGAAACAGCUUGCUGUUUCGCUGACGAGUGGCGGACGGGUGAGUAAUGUCUGGGAAACUGCCUGAUGGAGGGGGAUAACUACUGGAAACGGUAGCUAAUACCGCAUAACGUCGCAAGACCAAAGAGGGGGACCUUCGGGCCUCUUGCCAUCAGAUGUGCCCAGAUGGGAUUAGCUAGUAGGUGGGGUAACGGCUCACCUAGGCGACGAUCCCUAGCUGGUCUGAGAGGAUGACCAGCCACACUGGAACUGAGACACGGUCCAGACUCCUACGGGAGGCAGCAGUGGGGAAUAUUGCACAAUGGGCGCAAGCCUGAUGCAGCCAUGCCGCGUGUAUGAAGAAGGCCUUCGGGUUGUAAAGUACUUUCAGCGGGGAGGAAGGGAGUAAAGUUAAUACCUUUGCUCAUUGACGUUACCCGCAGAAGAAGCACCGGCUAACUCCGUGCCAGCAGCCGCGGUAAUACGGAGGGUGCAAGCGUUAAUCGGAAUUACUGGGCGUAAAGCGCACGCAGGCGGUUUGUUAAGUCAGAUGUGAAAUCCCCGGGCUCAACCUGGGAACUGCAUCUGGUACUGGCAAGCUUGAGUCUCGUAGAGGGGGGUAGAAUUCCAGGUGUAGCGGUGAAAUGCGUAGAGAUCUGGAGGAAUACCGGUGGCGAAGGCGGCCCCCUGGACGAAGACUGACGCUCAGGUGCGAAAGCGUGGGGAGCAAACAGG
This 727-nucleotide ribosomal RNA is filed under the name uncultured Escherichia sp. RNAcentral's name for it is "bacterial SSU rRNA". It matches the Rfam family "Bacterial small subunit ribosomal RNA", at positions 60 to 776 of the family's 1533-position model. The record is from RNAcentral. Lineage: Bacteria; Pseudomonadati; Pseudomonadota; Gammaproteobacteria; Enterobacterales; Enterobacteriaceae.